AUGGCCGCUCCGCCGCCGGUGCUCACCCUUGCGGUGGAGAAGGGUCCGCGCAAGGGAGAGAUCUGCCAGUGCAGCGCUGGAUCCGUGCUCCGUGUCGGGCGCGUCAUCAAAGGCAACCACUUUGCCGUGCGCGAUAAGGGCGCGUCGCAGCAACAUCUCUCCAUCGAGUUCCUCCCGCCGCCCGCCGCCGGAUGGGUCGUCUCCGAUCUGGGAUCCUCCAACGGCUCCUUCCUCAACGAUGUGCCCCUCGAGCCCUUUGUUCUCACCCCGCUUUCCCAUGGGAACCUGAUCAAGAUCGGCGAGUCCACCGUGCUCGCCGUGUCCAUCCCCUCCCAUUCGGAUCUGAGCACCGCCACCGCUGCCGACCCCGGAACUAGGCGCUCCUCGCGCUAUGCGGCGGAGACGGCGGCGGUGGAGGAGGAGAAGCCCCCUGCGGCGACCCGCCGGGGCACACGGAAGAAGGCAGCGGUGGCGGCGAUCCCCGAAGUGGAGAAUGAAGUGCCGGACGCGGCGGUAGUGGUAGUGGAGGAGGAGAAGCCCCGCCGGGGCGGACCUAGGAAGGUGGCUGCAGUGGCUCCCCCUGAACAGAGGGAAGAUGGGGAGAAGGAGGCCCCGGUGGGGAGGCGCCGUGGUGGACGGAAGAAGGUCGCGGAGCCCUCUGAACCGGAGAAGGAGGAGGCCCCGCUGGCGCCGCCUGUUGGCGGGCGGAAGAAGACCACAGCAGCUGCUGAGCCGGAGAAAGGAGAUGAGGAGGAGGAAGAGGGGAAGAAGGAGGCCCCGAAGGGGAGGCGCCGUGGUGGACGGAAGAAGGCCGCGGAGCCCUCUGAACCGGAGAAGGAGGAGGCCCCGCUGGCGCCGCGUGCUGGCGGGCGGAAGAAGACCACAGCAGCUGCUGAGUCGGAGAAAGGAGAUGAGGAGGAGGAAGCCCUGCUGGUGACGCGGAAGGAGGACACGGAGCCUCCUGAACUGGAGAAGGAAGACGAUGUGGAGGCCCAGAUGAUUACACGCCGUGGGAGGAGGAAGAAUGCUCCGACGGUCGCCCCUCCACCACAGCCUGUGAAGACGGGGUCCAGAGGGGGGCAUGGAAGGUUUACAAGAGCGGCUAGUACAAGGAAGGCCGUUCUAGAGGACGAGGAAGUGGAGGAAGAGGAGGAACAUGAGGUGGCUGUGCCAAGAGAUCAGCCUGGCAAUCUGUCGACUUCGACAGCGGUAAAGGAUGGUGAAGAGGAGGAGGAGGAGGAGGAGAAGGGGGAUAAGGUGGCAGCUGACGAUGGAGAAAUCGAGGUGGCUGCAAAGGCAUUGGAGGAGGAAGUCCCCAAGGGGAGGGCUUCUGCUCAGUGUGCUGCUUCUGACAAUGAGGGUGUUGGGGAAAGGGGUGGCGGAGAAGAGGAAGAUGAUGGCAAUGGGGAUUUGCUUGGCAGUAGAGGAGAGGCUUCUGCUCAGUGUGCUGCUUCUGACAAUGAGGGUGAUUGGGAAAUGGGUGGCGGAGAAGAGGAAGAUGAUGGCAAUGGGGAUUUGCUUGGAAGUAGAGGAGAUGUAGGAGAUGGGGCGAAGGUGGAGGAAUGUGCUGUUAGAAGCAGCCUUGAGACCAUGACAUUGCAGGAGUGGUUCGACCGGAUGGAAAAGUACCUCCCAAGGAUGAUCAACGAGGCUGCUGAUCAGAUGAUCGCGGAGUUGGAGGAGAAACAAAAGCGAGUCCAUGAGUACAUUUCAACGCUCAGUAAGAGCUCCGACCCUUCCUGA
Molecule: ribosomal RNA, 1743 nt
Filed under: Triticum aestivum (bread wheat)
Lineage: Eukaryota; Viridiplantae; Streptophyta; Magnoliopsida; Poales; Poaceae
Description: partial small subunit ribosomal RNA
Source: RNAcentral